UAAUGGAAGUAAAAGUCGUAACAAGGUUUCCGUAGGUGAACCUGCGGAAGGAUCAUUACAGUAUUCUUUUGCCAGCGCUUAACUGCGCGGCGAAAAACCUUACACACAGUGUCUUUUUGAUACAGAACUCUUGCUUUGGUUUGGCCUAGAGAUAGGUUGGGCCAGAGGUUUAACAAAACACAAUUUAAUUAUUUUUACAGUUAGUCAAAUUUUGAAUUAAUCUUCAAAACUUUCAACAACGGAUCUCUUGGUUCUCGCAUCGAUGAAGAACGCAGCGAAAUGCGAUAAGUAAUAUGAAUUGCAGAUUUUCGUGAAUCAUCGAAUCUUUGAACGCACAUUGCGCCCUCUGGUAUUCCAGAGGGCAUGCCUGUUUGAGCGUCAUUUCUCUCUCAAACCCCCGGGUUUGGUAUUGAGUGAUACUCUUAGUCGGACUAGGCGUUUGCUUGAAAAGUAUUGGCAUGGGUAGUACUAGAUAGUGCUGUCGACCUCUCAAUGUAUUAGGUUUAUCCAACUCGUUGAAUGGUGUGGCGGGAUAUUUCUGGUAUUGUUGGCCCGGCCUUACAACAACCAAACAAGUUUGACCUCAAAUCAGGUAGGAAUACCCGCUGAACUUAAGCAUAUCAAUAAGCGGAGGAA
Molecule: ribosomal RNA, 636 nt
Filed under: Meyerozyma guilliermondii
Lineage: Eukaryota; Fungi; Ascomycota; Pichiomycetes; Serinales; Debaryomycetaceae
Description: eukaryotic LSU rRNA
Rfam family: 5.8S ribosomal RNA (bases 228-381)
Source: RNAcentral